RNAcentral lists this ribosomal RNA (433 nucleotides) under uncultured bacterium. RNAcentral describes it as "partial 16S ribosomal RNA". It matches the Rfam family "Bacterial small subunit ribosomal RNA", at positions 29 to 507 of the family's 1533-position model. The record is from RNAcentral.
AACGAACGCUGGCGGCAUGCCUAACACAUGCAAGUCGAACGAGACCUUCGGGUCUAGUGGCGCACGGGUGCGUAACGCGUGGGAACCUGCCCUUAGGUUCGGAAUAACUCCCCGACAGGGGUGCUAAUACCGGAUAAUGUCUUCGGACCAAAGAUUUAUCGCCUUUGGAUGGGCCCGCGUUGGAUUAGCUAGUUGGUAGGGUAAAAGCCUACCAAGGCGACGAUCCAUAGCUGGUCUGAGAGGAUGAUCAGCCACACUGGGACUGAGACACGGCCCAGACUCCUACGGGAGGCAGCAGUGGGGAAUAUUGGACAAUGGGCGAAAGCCUGAUCCAGCAAUGCCGCGUGAGUGACGAAGGCCUUAGGGUUGUAAAGCUCUUUUACCCGGGAUGAUAAUGACAGUACCGGGAGAAUAAGCUCCGGCUAACUCCGUG